This is a non-coding RNA of Ictidomys tridecemlineatus (thirteen-lined ground squirrel), 1359 nucleotides long. Lineage: Eukaryota; Metazoa; Chordata; Mammalia; Rodentia; Sciuridae. The record is from RefSeq and is a predicted model, not a curated record.
GAACUGCAGGGGAGGGUCACAGGGCGAGGCCUGCAGCAGGGACACGGGCGGGGAGGAAGGGCUGCAGCCCAGAGUGAGGAGGACAGGGCCCUGGGCAGCACAGCCCUGCGGGGACAGAGGCCAAGUCGAGGAUGAGCCGCGGAGUCCAGGGCAUUUUACGCAGAGAGGACAGACCCUGAAGACCAGGCCCGGGGGCAGGGGUCAACCAGGAUGCCCGGGCUCACAGUAACUGCAUCUGUGGGCACCUGAGCCCUGGCCUGGCUUCCUGCCCUCCUGGCAGCUGAGAGUCUUUCGGGGAGUGCAGGGGACAUCUGCAGGAGCCUGGGGCGGGGGGGGGCUGGCCCCAAGUUUGGGAGCCCCCUGAAAGGUGGCCUUGUGCAGCAGCCCAGGCCAGCAGGGGACGGGCUCAGGGGGCAGAGCUUCCUGCCUGGCCCCUCCCCAGGGCCCGCAGGCAGCGCUCUGGAAUCCCGAGCAUCUGGGGAACACACAGCGCUAUGGAACAUAACCCUGUAAUGUGCGACUAAUGUUCUGUGGACAGUUACACAGCGGCAUCACCGCGGACCUGGUGACAGAGGCGGAAAGCCGCCCCUCCCUGCCUGUCUCCCAGGAAGAGGGGAGGGGCCCUGGCCAGCCCCCGGCCACCUGGAGGGGCCCACCUUCCCAGGAGCCCAGGGGUGAGCCCAGGAACCCGGUGCUGAGACGCAGGGCCCAGCAGCCACAGGCCUCCUGGGUUCUCUUCUGCCCUGCCUCUCCCCGUGGCCUCCAUUCUCUGAAUGCUCGGCAGACUCCGUCCUGUCUAGCCCUCGCACACUGCGGGAAAGGUGUUUCUCUCCACCAUAUGACGGAAGAAACACGCCCACAGGAGCAGCCACACAUCCGCCUGGAAACGCUCCCUCCUCUCUGACUCACUCCCAAGCUUUCCGUCACUCUGUCAGGACAGGGGACAGGACAGGGGACGAGUCACCAAACCCUUGGAGCCCUUGUUUGCCAGGGCCUCGAAGGGGCUCCUGGUGGGCAGAAGGCUGGGCCUCUCCUGCAGGACGUGGGCUGGCGUGCAGAGAUGUAUCCCAAGGACCGGCUCCCAAGAUGAUGGAGGUGGCAAGUCCGAAAUCUGCAGGCCCUCGGCAGAGCAGUGUCCUCAGUGAAGUGGGCAUGAUGACCCUGGCCGCCUGGACUGCCGGGAGAAGGAAAUGCAGUCAUGGAUGCGGAGCACCCGCCUGGACUCAGCCGCCAACGUGAGCCGCCUUCCCUUCCCUUCCCAGCCUCGCCGAGGAGAGGAGCACGUCGACACAGAGGAGAAACUUAAUUAGGAUUGGAAAAAUGUGAAUUCCAAGGCUUAUUAAAUUCAUGAUAUUUUUA